AACGAACGCUGGCGGCAUGCCUAACACAUGCAAGUCGAACGAGACCUUCGGGUCUAGUGGCGCACGGGUGCGUAACGCGUGGGAACCUGCCCUUAGGUUCGGAAUAACUCCCCGCAAGGGGUGCUAAUACCGGAUAAUGUCUUCGGACCAAAGAUUUAUCGCCUUUGGAUGGGCCCGCGUUGGAUUAGCUAGUUGGUAGGGUAAAAGCCUACCAAGGCGACGAUCCAUAGCUGGUCUGAGAGGAUGAUCAGCCACACUGGGACUGAGACACGGCCCAGACUCCUACGGGAGGCAGCAGUGGGGAAUAUUGGACAAUGGGCGAAAGCCUGAUCCAGCAAUGCCGCGUGAGUGAUGAAGGCCUUAGGGUUGUAAAGCUCUUUUACCCGGGAUGAUAAUGACAGUACCGGGAGAAUAAGCUCCGGUUAACUCCGUG
Molecule: ribosomal RNA, 433 nt
Filed under: uncultured bacterium
Lineage: Bacteria
Description: partial 16S ribosomal RNA
Rfam family: Bacterial small subunit ribosomal RNA
Source: RNAcentral